Molecule: long non-coding RNA, 541 nt
Filed under: Selaginella moellendorffii
Lineage: Eukaryota; Viridiplantae; Streptophyta; Lycopodiopsida; Selaginellales; Selaginellaceae
Description: long non-coding RNA (SMOE_LNC000259)
Source: RNAcentral
UUACAAAUAGUAGAGGAUACUUUGAUAUCUUUGAAUUAGUGAAGACUGGAACAGAUAUUGGGAGUUGUCGAGUGAGUGUGGAUCCAAGUAGAGCACCCCGGGGGUGUUCUUUCUUAACAGACAUAAAUGGUGGAUCAAGUGGCCAAUCCUUAAGCACAUGCACCAAUAAUGGAAAUAAUAAGUUCACUUGUGGACCUUAUUAUUUUACUCCAAAUGCUUGUUCACCUCCACCACCACCAAGUUCUCCACCUCCACCACCACCUAGAAAACCACCACCACCACCACCUAGAAGACCACCACCACCCCCACCAAGAACACCUCCACCACCACCACCAACGACACCUCCUCCACCACCACCAACAUCUCCUCCACCACCACCACCAAGAACACCGCCACCACCACCACCAAGAACUCCUCCUCCACCACCACCAAGAACACCUCCACCACCACCACCAAGAACACCUCCACCGCCACUGCCAAGAACACCUCCACCACCACCACCAAGAACUCCUCCUCCCCCACCACCAAGAAAACCUCCACC